CACGCAAGUAUCGCUGUGUGACACAUGGAUCGUUUUUAUUUCGUAUUGAUUAUUAAUAUCCACAAACAAGCUCACUCUAUUAUGACAUAUGUCAUUUUCCGAUUCUUAAACAUGCUUAAGUCAAUGUAUUUGGUAGUUUAAACACUUUUAUAAUGACCGCGUUGAUCUAUACCCGGUGAUGAGCACCGCCAUGUUAGUUCUCCCGGAAUCAGAACUGUGGGAUUUAAAACAGGCAGAUUCAUCCUCUCCUUCCGUUAAACGCAGGUUCAGCAGGCCUGAAGGAUGACAUGCCCCGAGAUGAAGUGUGCAGAAGAAGGACCUCCUUUCUGUAUCCCAUUAACAUCACCUCAUAAAAUGCUCCUACACGACAUGGGCAAACUGACACCCAUGUGUGAGCUGGCUCAGCUUUCUGCAGGGACGUCCUGGCCGGAGGGAAACUCACCAUUUCCAGCGUGCUGUGAUAAUAGAGAAGUGCAAAUGAGACGUGUGAGACUGCAGGCGAUCUCAAAGAGCAGCUCGAGAUUCCAC
This is a long non-coding RNA of Puntigrus tetrazona (Sumatra barb), 528 nucleotides long. RefSeq lists it as uncharacterized. Lineage: Eukaryota; Metazoa; Chordata; Actinopteri; Cypriniformes; Cyprinidae. The record is from RefSeq and is a predicted model, not a curated record. The transcript is spliced from 3 exons.